Molecule: ribosomal RNA, 253 nt
Filed under: uncultured bacterium
Lineage: Bacteria
Description: partial 16S ribosomal RNA
Rfam family: Bacterial small subunit ribosomal RNA
Source: RNAcentral
UACGUAGGGGGCAAGCGUUGUCCGGAAUCAUUGGGCGUAAAGCGCGUGUAGGCGGUCCGGUAAGUCAGCUGUGAAAGCCCCGGGCUCAACCUGGGAAUUGCGGUUGAAACUGGCGAACUAGAAUCUGGCAGAGGGGGGUGGAAUUCCACGUGUAGCAGUGAAAUGCGUAGAGAUGUGGAGGAACACCGAUGGCGAAGGCAGCCCCCUGGGCUGAGAUUGACGCUCAGGCACGAAAGCGUGGGGAGCAAACAGG